GCUAUGUAGGGAAGGGAUAAGCGCUGAAAGCAUCUAAGUGCGAAGCCCACCUCAAGAUGAGAUUUCCCAUGAUUUUAUAUCAGUAAGAGCCCUGAGAGAUGAUCAGGUAGAUAGGUUAGGAGUGUAAUUGUGGUGACACAUUUAGCGGACUAAUACUAAUAGCUCGAGGACUUAUCCAAAA
Molecule: ribosomal RNA, 181 nt
Filed under: Streptococcus agalactiae
Lineage: Bacteria; Bacillati; Bacillota; Bacilli; Lactobacillales; Streptococcaceae
Description: partial 23S ribosomal RNA
Rfam family: Bacterial large subunit ribosomal RNA
Source: RNAcentral